Molecule: ribosomal RNA, 284 nt
Filed under: Sarcina ventriculi
Lineage: Bacteria; Bacillati; Bacillota; Clostridia; Eubacteriales; Clostridiaceae
Description: partial 16S ribosomal RNA
Rfam family: Bacterial small subunit ribosomal RNA
Source: RNAcentral
UCUUUUCCUUUUUUUUCAGCCGCCGCGGUAAUACGUAGGUGGCAAGCGUUAUCCGGAUUUACUGGGCGUAAAGGGAGCGUAGGCGGAUAUUUAAGUGGGAUGUGAAAUACCCGAGCUUAACUUGGGAGCUGCAUUCCAAACUGGAUAUCUAGAGUGCAGGAGAGGAGAAUGGAAUUCCUAGUGUAGCGGUGAAAUGCGUAGAGAUUAGGAAGAACACCAGUGGCGAAGGCGAUUCUCUGGACUGUAACUGACGCUGAGGCUCGAAAGCGUGGGGAGCAAACAGG